UACGUAGGCAGCGAGCGUUGUUCGGAAUUACUGGGCGUAAAGAGUGUGUAGGCGGUGCUCUAAGUUUGGUGUGAAAUCUCCCGGCUUAACUGGGAGGGUGCGCCGAAGACUGGAGUGCUCGAGCGUGGGAGAGGAAAGCGGAAUUCCAGGUGUAGCGGUGAAAUGCGUAGAUAUCUGGAGGAACACCGGUGGCGAAGGCGGCAUCCUGGACCAAUACUGACACUGAGGAGCGAAAGCCAGGGGAGCAAACGGG
This 253-nucleotide ribosomal RNA is filed under the name uncultured prokaryote. Its description in RNAcentral is "partial 16S ribosomal RNA". It matches the Rfam family "Bacterial small subunit ribosomal RNA", at positions 524 to 776 of the family's 1533-position model. The record is from RNAcentral.